ACUCAAAUGAAUUGACGGGGACCCGCACAAGCAGUGGAGUGCCUGGUUUAAUUCGAUGAUCAGCGAAGAACCUCACCUGGGCUUGAACUGUAGCUGCAAACUCUAUGAAAAUAGAGCUCUUUCGAAGGUGCUAUAGAGGUGAUGCAUGGCUGUUGUCAGCUCGUGUCGUGAGAUGUCGGGUUAAGUCCCACAACGAGCGCAACCCCUUUCAGAUGUUAAAAUUACUUCUGAUACUGCCCCGCCCAAACGGGGAGGAAGGAGGGGAUGACAUCCAGUCAUCAUGUCCCUUAUGUCCAGGGCUACACAGACACUACAAUGGCGAUAACAAUGGGCUGCCAAACCGCGAGGUGGAGCUAAUCCCAUCAAAAAUCGUCUCAGUUCAGAUUGCAGGCUGCAACUCGCCUGUAUGAAGUUGGAAUUGCUAGUAAUCGGACAUCAGCAUGGUCCGGUGAAUACGUUCUCGGGUCUUGUACACACCGCCCGU
Molecule: ribosomal RNA, 484 nt
Filed under: uncultured bacterium
Lineage: Bacteria
Description: partial 16S ribosomal RNA
Rfam family: Bacterial small subunit ribosomal RNA
Source: RNAcentral